Molecule: ribosomal RNA, 495 nt
Filed under: uncultured bacterium
Lineage: Bacteria
Description: partial 16S ribosomal RNA
Rfam family: Bacterial small subunit ribosomal RNA
Source: RNAcentral
GAUGAACGCUGGCGGCGUGCCUAAUACAUGCAAGUAGAACGCUGAAGGAGGAGCUUGCUCUUCUGGAUGAGUUGCGAACGGGUGAGUAACGCGUAGGUAACCUGCCUGGUAGCGGGGGAUAACUAUUGGAAACGAUAGCUAAUACCGCAUGACAACAGUUAUUGCAUGAUAACUGUUUAAAAGGGGCAACUGCUCCACUACCAGAUGGACCUGCGUUGUAUUAGCUAGUUGGUGAGGUAACGGCUCACCAAGGCGACGAUACAUAGCCGACCUGAGAGGGGGGUCGGCCACCCUGGGACUGGGACAACGCCCAGGCUCCUACGGGGAGCAGCAAGAGGGGAUCUUCGGCAAUGGGCGGAAGUCUGACCGAGCAACGCCGCGUGGGUGGAGGAGGGUUUCGGAUCGGAAAGCUCUGUUGUAAGGGAAGAACGAGUGUGAGAGUGGAAAGUUCACGCUGUGACGGUAUCUUACCAGAAAGGGACGGCUAACUACGUG